This 479-nucleotide ribosomal RNA is filed under the name uncultured bacterium. Its description in RNAcentral is "bacterial SSU rRNA". It matches the Rfam family "Bacterial small subunit ribosomal RNA", at positions 30 to 507 of the family's 1533-position model. The record is from RNAcentral.
AUUGAACGCUGGCGGAAUGCUUUACACAUGCAAGUCGAACGGUAGAGGGGGCAACCCCUCGAGAGUGGCGAACGGGUGAGUAAUAUAUCGGAACGUGCCCAGUCGUGGGGGAUAACGUAGCGAAAGUUACGCUAAUACCGCAUACGCCCUGAGGGGGAAAGCGGGGGACCGUAAGGCCUCGCGCGAUUAGAGCGGCCGAUACCUGAUUAGCUAGUUGGUGAGGUAAAGGCUCACCAAGGCAACGAUCAGUAGCUGGUCUGAGAGGACGAUCAGCCACACUGGGACUGAGACACGGCCCAGACUCCUACGGGAGGCAGCAGUGGGGAAUUUUGGACAAUGGGGGCAACCCUGAUCCAGCAAUGCCGCGUGAGUGAAGAAGGCCUUCGGGUUGUAAAGCUCUUUUGUCAGGGAAGAAACAGCAGCUCUAACACAGUCUGCGAAUGACGGUACCUGAAGAAUAAGCACCGGCUAACUACGUG